RNAcentral lists this ribosomal RNA (258 nucleotides) under uncultured bacterium. Its description in RNAcentral is "partial 16S ribosomal RNA". It matches the Rfam family "Bacterial small subunit ribosomal RNA", at positions 524 to 776 of the family's 1533-position model. The record is from RNAcentral.
GACGAGGGAUCCAAGCGUUUGUUCGGAAUUAUUGGGCGUAAAGCGGAUGCAUGUGGCUCUUUUAGUCAGGUGUGAAAUCCCCAGGGCUCAACCCCUGGAAGUGCAUUUGAAACUGGAGAGCUUGAGUGCUGGAGAGGUAAGUAGAAUACCUGGUGUAGUGGUGAAAAUACGUAGAUAUCAGGUGGAAUACCGGAGGCGAAGGCGGCUUACUGGCCAGACACUGACACUCAGAUCCGAAAGCGUGGGGGAUCAAACAGG